AGGGGAGUGAAAAAGAACCUGAAACCGUGUACGUACAAGCAGUGGGAGCACAGAGCAAUCUGUGUGACUGCGUACCUUUUGUAUAAUGGGUCAGCGACUUAUAUUCUGUAGCAAGGUUAACCGAAUAGGGGAGCCGAAGGGAAACCGAGUCUUAACUGGGCGUUAAGUUGCAGGGUAUAGACCCGAAACCCGGUGAUCUAGCCAUGGGCAGGUUGAAGGUUGGGUAACACUAACUGGAGGACCGAACCGACUAAUGUUGAAAAAUUAGCGGAUGACUUGUGGCUGGGGGUGAAAGGCCAAUCAAACCGGGAGAUAGCUGGUUCUCCCCGAAAGCUAUUUAGGUAGCGCCUCGUGAAUUCAUCUCCGGGGGUAGAGCACUGUUUCGGCAAGGGGGUCAUCCCGACUUACCAACCCGAUGCAAACUGCGAAUACCGGAGAAUGUUAUCACGGGAGACACACGGCGGGUGCUAACGUCCGUCGUGAAGAGGGAAACAACCCAGACCGCCAGCUAAGGUCCCAAAGUCAUGGUUAAGUGGGAAACGAUGUGGGAAGGCCCAGACAGCCAGGAUGUUGGCUUAGAAGCAGCCAUCAUUUAAAGAAAGCGUAAUAGCUCACUGGUCGAGUCGGCCUGCGCGGAAGAUGUAACGGGGCUAAACCAUG
This 660-nucleotide ribosomal RNA is filed under the name Escherichia coli. Its description in RNAcentral is "partial 23S ribosomal RNA". It matches the Rfam family "Bacterial large subunit ribosomal RNA", at positions 532 to 1191 of the family's 2925-position model. The record is from RNAcentral. Lineage: Bacteria; Pseudomonadati; Pseudomonadota; Gammaproteobacteria; Enterobacterales; Enterobacteriaceae.